RNAcentral lists this ribosomal RNA (99 nucleotides) under Salmonella enterica subsp. enterica serovar Enteritidis. The record is from RNAcentral. Lineage: Bacteria; Pseudomonadati; Pseudomonadota; Gammaproteobacteria; Enterobacterales; Enterobacteriaceae.
UGUUGUCACUCCUGACCCCAUGCCGAACUCAGAAGUGAAACGCCGUAGCGCCGAUGGUAGUGUGGGGUCUCCCCAUGCGAGAGUAGGGAACUGCCAGGC